RNAcentral lists this ribosomal RNA (499 nucleotides) under uncultured bacterium. Its description in RNAcentral is "partial 16S ribosomal RNA". It matches the Rfam family "Bacterial small subunit ribosomal RNA", at positions 28 to 507 of the family's 1533-position model. The record is from RNAcentral.
GACGAACGCUGGCGGCGUGCCUAAUACAUGCAAGUCGAGCGAAGUUUUUCUGGUGCUUGCACUAGAAAAACUUAGCGGCGAACGGGUGAGUAACACGUAAAGAACCUGCCUCAUAGACUGGGACAACUAUUGGAAACGAUAGCUAAUACCGGAUAACAGCAUUAACUGCAUGGUUGAUGUUUAAAAGUUGGUUUUGCUAACACUAUGAGAUGGCUUUGCGGUGCAUUAGCUAGUUGGUGGGGUAAAGGCCUACCAAGGCGACGAUGCAUAGCCGACCUGAGAGGGUGAUCGGCCACACUGGGACUGAGACACGGCCCAGACUCCUACGGGGGGCAGCAGUAGGGAAUCUUCCGCAAUGGGCGAAAGCCUGACGGAGCAACGCCGCGUGAGUGAAGAAGGAUUUCGGUUCGUAAAGCUCUGUUGUUAGGGAAGAAUGAUUGUGUAGUAACUAUACACAGUAGAGACGGUACCUAACCAGAAAGCCACGGCUAACUACGUG